Molecule: long non-coding RNA, 591 nt
Filed under: Homo sapiens (human)
Lineage: Eukaryota; Metazoa; Chordata; Mammalia; Primates; Hominidae
Description: long non-coding RNA NONHSAT224405.1
Source: RNAcentral
GAAAUAUCAAAGUCUCAGAUCCAAAGCUUUUUGAAAUGAUUAAGUAUUGUCUUUUGAAAAUUCUGAAGCAAUAUCAGACAUUGAGAGAAGCUCUUGUUGCAGCAGGAAAAGAGGUUAUAUGGCAUGGGCGGACAAAUGAUGAACCAGCUCAUUACUGUAGCAUUUGUGAGGUGGAGGUUUUUAAUCUGCUUUUUGUCACUAAUGAAAGCAAUACUCAAAAAACCUACAUAGUACAUUGCCAUGAUUGUGCACGAAAAACAAGCAAAAGUUUGGAAAAUUUUGUGGUGCUCGAACAGUACAAAAUGGAGGACCUAAUCCAAGUUUAUGAUCAAUUUACACUAGCCUCCCCAUGGCCACCCAUGGACCAGUCGGCAUUCACUUCCUCCCUUCUGCGGCCCAUAAAAGCCCUGGGUUCAGGCAGAGCUGAGCAGACAUCAGGUGACCAGCUGCAGAAAGGAGCUACCCACUCCAGGGCCUCAUCUCUGCUGAGAGCUGCAGAGAUGACCAGAAGACCUGCAUCCAGAGAGGAGCUUCCUGAUCCAGGGCUAUUCUGUCACUCAAUAAAGCUUCUCUUUGUCUUGUUCUCCUUCC